CCGGGCUUCGGCAGCGGCCGCAGACACGCCCCUUUGCCCGGCAGGUACCGGGCACGGAACGGGAAUGCGAUUGAAUCUCACCCGCAAAACAGCAAGAGUCUGGAAGUGUUCUAGGAGGAAUCGAGGUUUCAGACUGAACCCAUCUAUUCCCUUAGAGCGUGUGGUUUGGGGCACUGAGUACUUCUGAAGUCUCGGCUUCAUGUGUCAGGAGUCUCCUUUCUCCUUGGGGAAAUGGCUGGUGCUGCAGGACAGUAAUAAGUAUAUACAGACAGAACAACCCAGAGU
Rhineura floridana is the source of this 285-nucleotide long non-coding RNA. RefSeq lists it as uncharacterized. The record is from RefSeq and is a predicted model, not a curated record. The transcript has 3 exons. NCBI's taxonomy places the organism in Eukaryota, Metazoa, Chordata, Lepidosauria, Squamata, Rhineuridae.